RNAcentral lists this ribosomal RNA (854 nucleotides) under uncultured bacterium. RNAcentral's name for it is "bacterial SSU rRNA". It matches the Rfam family "Bacterial small subunit ribosomal RNA", at positions 28 to 898 of the family's 1533-position model. The record is from RNAcentral.
GAUGAACGUGGCGGCGUGGAUUAGGCAUGCAAGUCGAACGGGCCCNGUCUUCGGACCGGGCCAGUGGCGCAAGGGUGAGUAAGGCGACGGUAACCAACCCCACGGUUGGGUAUAGCCGCGGGAAACUGCGGGUAAUCCCCAGCGAUGUAAGAUGUCAUCGGCGUCUUAUCAAAGNUUCGGCGCCGUGGGACGGGCCGUUGUGGUAUUAGGUCGUUGGCGGGGUAACGGCCCACCAAGCCGAUGAUGCCUACCGGGCGUGCGAGCGUGGCCCGGCACACUGGGACUGAGACACUGCCCAGACUCCUACGGGAGGCUNCAGUCGAGAAUCUUCGGCAAUGGGCGCAAGCCUGACCGAGCGACGCCGCGUGGAGGAUGAAGGCCUUCGGGUUGUAAACUCCUGUCGAGGGGGAGGAAGGGGCAACCUUGACCGAUCCCUGGAGGAAGCACGGGCUAAGUUCGUGCCAGCAGCCGCGGUAAGACGAACCGUGCGAACGUUAUUCGGAAUCACUGGGCUUAAAGCGCGUGUAGGCGGAUGGGAACGUCGGUGACUGAAAGCCCCCGGCUCAACCGGGGAAGUGGUGCCGAAACGACCCGUCUGGAGGGACGUAGGGGGACCUGGAACUUCCGGUGGAGCGGUGAAAUGCGUUGAGAUCGGAAGGAACGCCCGUGGCGAAAGCGAGGUCCUGGACGUCUUCUGACGCUGAGACGCGAAAGCUAGGGGAGCGAACGGGAUUAGAUACCCCGGUAGUCCUAGCCGUAAACGAUGGGCACUGGGUAGGGGGCUCGCCGAUGGGCUCCCUGCCGUAGCGAAAGCGUGAAGUGCCCCGCCUGGGGAGUAUGGUCGCAAGGCUGAA